RNAcentral lists this ribosomal RNA (171 nucleotides) under Synura glabra. Its description in RNAcentral is "partial 18S ribosomal RNA". It matches the Rfam family "Eukaryotic small subunit ribosomal RNA", at positions 1676 to 1831 of the family's 1831-position model. RNAcentral also lists the same sequence under 7 other names. Lineage: Eukaryota; Synurophyceae; Synurales; Mallomonadaceae. The record is from RNAcentral.
UCGCACCUACCGAUUGAAUGAUUCGGUGAAAAUUCUGGACUGUGGCUCGGACGCCUUCGGGCGACCUUGCUGUGGGAAGUUAUUUAAACCUCAUCAUUUAGAGGAAGGUGAAGUCGUAACAAGGUUUCCGUAGGUGAACCUGCGGAAGGAUCAUUACCACACCCUCAAAUA